CCUACGGGGGGCAGCAGUGAGGAAUAUUGGUCAAUGGGCGCGAGCCUGAACCAGCCAAGUAGCGUGAAGGAUGACUGCCCUACGGGUUGUAAACUUCUUCUAUAAAGGAAUAAAGUGAGGCUCGUGUGCCUUUUUGUAUGUACUUUAUGAAUAAGGAUCGGCUAACUCCGCGCCAGCAGCCGCGGUAAUAUGGAGGAUCCGAGCGUUAUCCGGAUUUAUUGGGUUUAAAGGGAGCGUAGGUGGGUUGUUAAGUCAGUUGUGAAAGUUUGCGACUCAACCGUAAAAUUGCAAUUGAUACUGGCAGUCUAGAGUACAGUUGAGGUAGGCGGAAUUCGAGGUGUAGCGGUGAAAUGCUUAGAUAUCACGAAGAACUCCGAUUGCGAAGGCAGCUUACUAGACUGCCACUGACAUUGAUGCUCGAAAGUGUGGGGAUCAAACAGGAUUAGAUACCCUAGUAGUC
Molecule: ribosomal RNA, 460 nt
Filed under: uncultured bacterium
Lineage: Bacteria
Description: partial 16S ribosomal RNA
Rfam family: Bacterial small subunit ribosomal RNA
Source: RNAcentral